GAUGAACGCUGGCGGCGUGCCUAAUACAUGCAAGUCGAGCGAACAGAUGAGGAGCUUGCUCCUCUGACGUUAGCGGCGGACGGGUGAGUAACACGUGGAUAACCUACCUAUAAGACUGGGAUAACUUCGGGAAACCGGAGCUAAUACCGGAUAAUAUAUUGAACCGCAUGGUUCAAUAGUGAAAGACGGUUUUGCUGUCACUUAUAGAUGGAUCCGCGCCGCAUUAGCUAGUUGGUAAGGUAACGGCUUACCAAGGCAACGAUGCGUAGCCGACCUGAGAGGGUGAUCGGCCACACUGGAACUUAGCCACGGUCCAGACUCCUACGGGAGGCAGCAGUAGGGAAUCUUCCGCAAUGGUCGAAAGCCUGACGGAGCAACGCCGCGUGAGUUAUGAAGGUCUUCGGAUCGUAAAACUCUGUUAUUAGUGAAGAACAAAUGUGUAAGUAACUAUGCACGUCUUGACGGUACCUAAUCAGAAAGCCACGGCUAACUACGUG
This 497-nucleotide ribosomal RNA is filed under the name uncultured bacterium. Its description in RNAcentral is "partial 16S ribosomal RNA". It matches the Rfam family "Bacterial small subunit ribosomal RNA", at positions 28 to 507 of the family's 1533-position model. The record is from RNAcentral.